Asparagus officinalis (garden asparagus) is the source of this 1112-nucleotide long non-coding RNA. RefSeq lists it as uncharacterized. NCBI's taxonomy places the organism in Eukaryota, Viridiplantae, Streptophyta, Magnoliopsida, Asparagales, Asparagaceae. The record is from RefSeq and is a predicted model, not a curated record. The transcript has 3 exons.
CGUUCCGCGAAAUGGUUCAUUUGAUAGGUUGUCGAUAGGACGAAUCCUCCCCAACACAUUACAAUGUCAAUCAUCACCCACGCGGCUCGAAUCCUUUCCGCUUAUUUUCUGAGAAAACAAUACUUACAGGAAGCAGGGGAAAAAAAGAAAUCUACUCUAAUGGAAGAAGAAAAUCUAUACGAUCAUGCGAGAGACUCCCUGUAAACUCUCUUCUGAGAUUUUGCUGCGUCUGCAAACAAUGGUGCUCCUAAACUUCUGAUACCGACUUCAUUGAAGAACAUUACGAGAGCUCUAUGGCUAGGACUCCCAAAAUUUCGAGCGGAAGUAAAACUAUACGGUUGUGAGGAUGCAGCUUGUGAAAUCAAGAAUUCCGUCAUUCAGAUAGAGCAUCAAGCUGCAAUAUGGAAGGCAGGCUAUCAAAUUUUGUCAAUGGAUUGGCUUGCGGAUAUGACAAGAUCAAUGUAGGUGAAUGCCGCUUAAUAAAUCCCUCUACUUGCUCAGUUUUAAAACUCGAUCCCCAGCUCCCCUCGAAAAGUUUCGAAACUUGACAAUGCAUGUUGGAUUCGGGUUCGACACCUUCACAGGAGAACACGAGGUAGUCAGGCUUAAUUGCUCAUGGUAGUCUGGAGUCUUGUGAAUGUGAAAUCCUCACGGUGGGAACUCAUGAAUGAAGAUUUAUCGAAGAAUUAAUAUACUUUCGAUGUGCCACCUACGAAACCAGUUUACUCACAAGGGUCUCUCUAUUGGAACGUAGGCUUGCUAAAUGAAGACGGAGAAUACUGCAUGGCUAUCUAUAGGUUCGAAGUUAAACAUGAGAAGUUUGAAGUUAUACCCUUCAUACCCGAACUUAGUAUGAGUUGCAAUAUAUAUGAGUGAAGAGGGCGUGUCUGCAUCGUGACGAUGAGACCACAGAUGAAGAUAUGGAUGCUUGAGGAUAACGAGGAAUGGAUCGAGAUGUUUAGCGUCUGUGCGAUAAAUUUCUCAAUCAGAGACAACUCAGGUCCAAUGAGAAUACCCGAUAUUGUUGUGACAUCUUUGGGAUAAACUAAUAUCAAUCGCACGAAAGCGCAUAAAAAAUCAAGAACACAAAACACACGGAUAUACAUGUUCGA